AGCGUAUAUUAAAGUUGUUGCAGUUAAAAAGCUCGUAGUUGAAUUUCGGGGUUCAUCCGUUGGUCGGGCUUUUUUGGUCUGUACUGGCGUGAUGGAUUCCUACCUUCUGAAUAACCAGCAUGUCAUUAAUUUGGUGCGCUGGGGAAGCAGGACUGUUACCUUGAAAAAAUUAGAGUGCUUAAAGCAGGCUAUCGCCUGAAUACAUUAGCAUGGAAUAAUGAAAUAGGACGGCAUGGUUCUAUUUUGUUGGUUUCUAGGAUCACCGUAAUGAUUAAUAGGGAUAGUUGGGGGCAUUAGUAUUCAAUUGUCAGAGGUGGAAUUCUUGGAUUUAUUGAAGACUAACUUCUGCGAAAGCAUUUGCCAAGGAUGUUUUCAUUAAUCAAGAACGAAAGUUAGGGGAUCGAAGACGAUCAGAUACCGUCGUANUCUUAACCAUAAAC
RNAcentral lists this ribosomal RNA (440 nucleotides) under uncultured Glomeromycotina. Its description in RNAcentral is "SSU rRNA". It matches the Rfam family "Eukaryotic small subunit ribosomal RNA", at positions 596 to 1037 of the family's 1831-position model. The record is from RNAcentral. Lineage: Eukaryota; Fungi; Glomeromycota.